Molecule: long non-coding RNA, 248 nt
Organism: Xenia sp. Carnegie-2017
Lineage: Eukaryota; Metazoa; Cnidaria; Anthozoa; Malacalcyonacea; Xeniidae
Exons: 2
Source: RefSeq, a predicted model, not a curated record
AUGACAUUUGGUGGCAGGGAUUGUGAGGGGUAUAAAUCAUGGCAUUUGGUGGCAGGGAUUGUGAGGGGUAAAUCAUGGCAUUUGGUGGCAGGGAUUGUGAGGGUAAAUCAUGGCAUUUGGUGGCAGGGAUUGUGAGGGGUAAAUCGUGACAUUUGGUGGCAGGGAUUGUGAGGGGUAAAUCGUGACAUUUUGUGGCAGGGAUUUGAGGGGUAAAUCGUGACAUUUUGUGGCAGGGAUUGUGGGGGGUA